This 432-nucleotide ribosomal RNA is filed under the name uncultured bacterium. Its description in RNAcentral is "partial 16S ribosomal RNA". It matches the Rfam family "Bacterial small subunit ribosomal RNA", at positions 29 to 507 of the family's 1533-position model. The record is from RNAcentral.
ACGAACGCUGGCGGCAUGCCUAACACAUGCAAGUCGAACGAAGGCUUCGGCCUUAGUGGCGCACGGGUGCGUAACGCGUGGGAAUCUGCCCUUUGGUUCGGAAUAACAGCUGGAAACGGCUGCUAAUACCGGAUGAUGACGAAAGUCCAAAGAUUUAUCGCCAGAGGAUGAGCCCGCGUUGGAUUAGGUAGUUGGUGGGGUAAAGGCCUACCAAGCCGACGAUCCAUAGCUGGUCUGAGAGGAUGAUCAGCCACACUGGGACUGAGACACGGCCCAGACUCCUACGGGAAGCAGCAGUGGGGAAUAUUGGACAAUGGGCGCAAGCCUGAUCCAGCAAUGCCGCGUGAGUGAUGAAGGCCCUAGGGUUGUAAAGCUCUUUUACCUGGGAAGAUAAUGACUGUACCGGGAGAAUAAGCCCCGGCUAACUCCGUG